UUGGAGGGCAAGUCUGGUGCCAGCAGCCGCGGUAAUUCCAGCUCCAAUAGCGUAUAUUAAAGUUGUUGCAGUUAAAAAGCUCGUAGUUGAAUUUCGGGAUCAAUAUGUUGGUCGUGCCUUGGUACGUACUGGCAUCGUUGAUUUCUACCUUCUGAAGAACCUCGAUGUCAUUAAUUUGGUGUCUUGGGGAAUCAGGACUGUUACUUUGAAAAAAUUAGAGUGUUUAAAGCAAGCUCACGCUUGAAUACAUUAGCAUGGAAUAAUGAAAUAGGACGUUUGAUUCUAUUUUGUUGGUUUCUAGGAUCGACGUAAUGAUUAAUAGGGAUAGUUGGGGGCAUUAGUAUUCAAUUGUCAGAGGUGAAAUUCUUGGAUUUAUUGAAGACUAACUACUGCGAAAGCAUUUGCCAAGGAUGCUUUCAUUAAUCAAGAACGAAGGUUAGGGGAUCGAAGACGAUCAGAUACCGUCGUAGUCUUAACCAUAAACUAUGCCGACUAGGGAUCGGAUGAUGUUAAUUUUUUAAUGACUCAUUCGGCGCCUUACGGGAAACA
This 549-nucleotide ribosomal RNA is filed under the name uncultured Glomus. RNAcentral describes it as "SSU rRNA". It matches the Rfam family "Eukaryotic small subunit ribosomal RNA", at positions 548 to 1099 of the family's 1831-position model. The record is from RNAcentral. Lineage: Eukaryota; Fungi; Glomeromycota; Glomeromycetes; Glomerales; Glomeraceae.